AACGAACGCUGGCGGCAUGCCUAACAUAUGCAAGUCGAACGAGACCUUCGGGUCUAGUGGCGCACGGGUGCGUAACGCGUGGGAACCUGCCCUUAGGUUCGGAAUAACUCCCCGAAAGGGGUGCUAAUACCGGAUAAUGUCUUCGGACCAAAGAUUUAUCGCCUUUGGAUGGGCCCGCGUUGGAUUAGCUAGUUGGUAGGGUAAAAGCCUACCAAGGCGACGAUCCAUAGCUGGUCUGAGAGGAUGAUCAGCCACACUGGGACUGAGACACGGCCCAGACUCCUACGGGAGGCAGCAGUGGGGAAUAUUGGAACAUGGGCGAAAUCCUGAUCCAGCAAUGCCGCGUGAGUGAUGAAGGCCUUAGGGUUGUAAAGCUCUUGUACCCGGGAUGAUAAUGACAGUACCGGGAGAAUAAGCUCCGGCUAACUCCGUG
Molecule: ribosomal RNA, 433 nt
Filed under: uncultured bacterium
Lineage: Bacteria
Description: partial 16S ribosomal RNA
Rfam family: Bacterial small subunit ribosomal RNA
Source: RNAcentral